UACGUAGGGGGCUAGCGUUGUCCGGAAUCAUUGGGCGUAAAGCGCGCGUAGGCGGCCAGAUAAGUCCGGUGUGAAAGUCACAGGCUCAACCUGUGAAUGCCGCUGGAAACUGUCUGGCUUGAGUCCGGAAGGGGCGAGUGGAAUUCCUGGUGUAGCGGUGAAAUGCGCAGAUAUCAGGAAGAACACCAAUGGCGAAAGCAGCUCUCUGGGACGGUACUGACGCUGAGACGCGAAAGCGUGGGGAGCGAACAGG
This 253-nucleotide ribosomal RNA is filed under the name uncultured bacterium. RNAcentral describes it as "partial 16S ribosomal RNA". It matches the Rfam family "Bacterial small subunit ribosomal RNA", at positions 524 to 776 of the family's 1533-position model. The record is from RNAcentral.